UGGGGAGUCUUGCACAAUGGGGGCAACCCUGAUGCAGCGACGCCGCGUGAGCGAUGAAGCCCUUCGGGGCGUAAAGCUCUUUCGACCGGAACGAUAAUGACGGUACCGGGAGAAGAAGCUGCGGCUAACUACGUGCCAGCAGCCGCGGUAAUACGUAGGCAGCAAGCGUUGUUCGGAGUUACUGGGCGUAAAGAGUGCGUAGGCGGUUUUCUAAGUUCGGUGUGAAAUCUCCCGGCUUAACUGGGAGGGUGCGCCGAAGACUGGGAAGCUGGAGUGUGGGAAAGGCAGGCGGAAUUCCUGGUGUCGCGGUGAAAUGCGUAGAUAUCAGGAGGAACACCGGCGGUGUAGACGGCUUGCUAGACCAUAACUGACGCUGAGGCACGAAAGCGUGGGUAGCAAACA
RNAcentral lists this ribosomal RNA (402 nucleotides) under uncultured bacterium. Its description in RNAcentral is "bacterial SSU rRNA". It matches the Rfam family "Bacterial small subunit ribosomal RNA", at positions 355 to 774 of the family's 1533-position model. The record is from RNAcentral.